RNAcentral lists this ribosomal RNA (452 nucleotides) under uncultured Sphingobacteriales bacterium. Its description in RNAcentral is "bacterial SSU rRNA". It matches the Rfam family "Bacterial small subunit ribosomal RNA", at positions 929 to 1382 of the family's 1533-position model. Lineage: Bacteria; Pseudomonadati; Bacteroidota; Sphingobacteriia; Sphingobacteriales. The record is from RNAcentral.
GCGGAGGAACAUGUGGUUUAAUUCGAUGAUACGCGAGGAACCUUACCUGGGCUUAAAUGGGGAGUGACAGCUGUCGAAAGAUGGUUUUCUUCGGACACUCUUCAAGGUGCUGCAUGGUUGUCGUCAGCUCGUACCGUGAGGUGUCGGGUUAAGUCCCAUAACGAGCGCAACCCUUACCGUUAGUUACCAUCAGGUUAAGCUGGGGGACUCUAGCGGGACUGCCACCGUAAGGUGAGAGGAAGGUGGGGAUGACGUCAAAUCAGCACGGCCCUUAUGUCCAGGGCUACACACGUGUUACAAUGGCCAGUACAAAGGGCAGCUACCGGGUGACCGGAUACUAAUCUCUAAAGCUGGUCUCAGUUCGGAUCGAAGUCUGCAACCCGACUUCGUGAAGCUGGAUUCGCUAGUAAUCGCGCAUCAGCCAUGGCGCGGUGAAUACGUUCCCGGGCCUU